UUUUUAAACUACAUUCUCAUAGCCCUAGUUAUAACAUUACAAAAUGUGGAAAAGUUCAAGGGUGAGAAUAUUGGCUCGUGUGUAUCAGGGUGCUAAUAAAUUUUUUUGGGUGCACUCAUAAUAGAAAAGGAAACACCAAACUCAUCCUGCAUGGGGGAAGUCCAGCUCCUGUAGCAUGAAAGAAAACUACGAUUAAAAACCCACAGCACAGCUGCGUGAGUCCAUGUGAACGGAUGGAGGUGGAGGUCAGACGAAAGGAUUUUUAGGUUAAACAAAGCAAAUGUUUCAUCAGGCUUCACAGAUAUUACCUGGAAGAUCUAAAAAUAACUGUUUACAUGCACAUUAAGUGUGUAAUUACAGUGUUUAAUAUGAGGCAGAGCUAAGUGUGUGUGUGUGUGUCAGAAGUACAGAUUAGGGCCUGACAUCAGUGUGUAUCUGAUUAGUGUGUGGCCCUGAUCUGAACCCUGAACUGCUCAUAAUGUAAGUAAAAAGAAGAACUCCCCAUAAAAACAAUUCCGAAGCAGAACAGCAGAUUAGACUGAAUCCUCUUUAUAUUAAAUAAACAGCUAACACCGUAACAACAGCGUAUCCAGUCGGGUUUAAUUCUAAACAGAGCUCAGUGUACAUUAACUCCGCGCUGUUCUAACUGGUUAAUCAGAGAUUCAGAUCCAAAGCCAUCAGACUGAACUUUAACCUCUAGGAACGCAGUACGCCUUUGCUGUUUUCCUACGGACGCUCUCGGCGGCACGUCAAGAGUUUUAAACGUGGUAUGACGGAGGGAGUAAGUACACACUAACAGAUAGUCUCACCGAAUUACACCGCCCGUCAAAAGGUUUUGAAGACCCUGUAUUCAUAUUGUUUUUAUUGUUAGGUAUUUUAGACGUGUUUCUAGCUCUUAGGGCCUCGAUAACGAGCGUACGGUCCUCGCCAACGUCUCUAAACAAACAAAUAACCUCGUGUGACUACCAAAAAUAAAAAAUAACACAAAUAACAGAUUUGAAUAUGUAGUCAUUUUUUCCCCCGAAAUGUAAAUCAACAUUCAGAGACCAGGUGGGGGGAAAAAAAAUAAGUACACCCUAUAAUUCAGUAGCAUGUAGAACCAUGUUUAGAAAGAACAGAUUAAAGUAAACUUUUCUGUAGCAGUUUUUGAGUCUCUCGGAUCGUUUCGGAGAAAUUUCGGCCCACUGCUUCGGUUCAUUGGUGUUUGCGGGAAUUCGUUUACGCACAGCUCUCUUAAGAUCCCACCACAGCAUCUCGAUGAGGUUGAAGUUUGGACUUUGACUUGGCCAUUCCAACAUCUUCAUUUGUGUCUUCUUUAGCCAUUCAGGUGUUGAUUCGUUGGUGUGUUUGGGAUCAUUGUCCUGUUGCAUGACCCUGCAUAACAUGCUGGACAAAUGGCCUUAGAUUUGUCUCAAGAAUAUUCUGGUAUAAAGUGGAGUUCAUCGCUGUCUCAAUGACUGCUAGUUUCCCAGGUCCGUGCCUGCAAAACAAGCUGAGAUCAUCACCCCUACACGACCAAGCUUGACAGAUGGUAUGGGGUGUUUUUGGUGAUACGUUGUGUUUGGUUUUUGCCAAAUAUGGAGCUGUGCAUGAUGAACAGACAUCUCCAGCUUGGUUUCAUCAAUCCGAAGGAUUAAGAAGGUUCGAGAACCUUUCCGGUUUGUUCAAAUGCAAAGCCGUGCUCCGUAUUCUUUUUUGCCGAGAAAGGCCUUUUUCCCAUCCACCCUUCCAUGAACGCCAUACCUGUUCAAUCUUUUUCUGAUUGUUCUGUCACGGAAAUAAACAUUUAAUGUUCGUACAGACCCUCGUAGGUCACAUGAUGUAGCUUUUCAGUUUUUCUUUACAUCUCUGAGCAGGAAACGUAGAAUGGCGAAUUUCAAAUUGUUUGGAGAUGGUCUUAUAACCCUUCCCAGACCGAUGAGCAGGAACGAUCACUUUUCUGAGGUCACGGCUGACAUCCUUUCAUCUUGGCAUGAUGGAAACACACACGAGUGCUCCAGAACACCAAAAUGCCAACAUUUCUGCUUUUAUAUAAGUAGUCAUACUUCUUGAUGAAUAACUCAUUUCGUGCAUUUCUUUAUUAGCACCUGGCUGCUAAUUACUCUCUUAAUGACCGCGGACAUAGGAAGGGUGUACUUAUUUUUCCCCACCUGCUUUAUGAAUGUUUUUUGGGGGGGAAACGACGACAGAUUUCAAUAUGUAGUGUUGUUUUGUUGUUGCGGUUAUAUAUUUCUUUAUAGAAGGACCACACAAUUGUUAUUUAGGCACUGAUAACCAAAACCCUAGAAUUGAAGGAGGGUGGACAUGAGAAGUCUGGUGGUAAAACGAAGCUGAUUUUUUAGACGGGUUUCCACAUUCUUUCUCUCAAAAUGCCAGCUGCUAGGAAGAAACAAUUUACCGAGUCUCAUGGACAAGGCAGAGGAAAAUGCUAACAUUGUGUGUGUCUGUGGUGCGGUCAUGGAUCCCACACCAUCCCUGUUUUCCUAGAAAUACGCCUCAGUGUUUUUUCUUUUCUUUUCUUUUUCUUUUUUUUUUUUUUUUUUAACACUAAGCCCAUUCAUCUACUUAAAAUCUACUUACAAGUUUUUUUGGUAAUACUCAAAUCUGUGUUAAUUGUAAUAAUACAAUAACAAUACACAUCAUUUAUGGUGUGUAUUUUAAUCGAAGCUGUUUUAGCAUGCAGUUAGAGAUCAAAUCAGAAUCAGGAUGCUUUUAGGGCUGGGUGUAUAAAACAAGGUUUCUCAAAUUGGUUUCAUCCCCUCUAACUACAAACAGGUUUAUCUUAUGAACAUCAUCCAGCUAUUUAUAUGUGUACAAUAAUAUUUGGGCUAUUUCUUGCAGCCUGAGAUCUUUUUAUUCCUGAACUUUCCACCAACUGAACCCAUUUUUUUGUUUGUUGGCAUUUUGACAUGUGCUUUAAAUCAAAGUGAGCAGACAAAUACGCUAAUAACUCACCAAAAAGAACUCUGUAAUAUAAAAUAUUAUAAUAUUUUAAUCCAAACACUGUGUUUAUAUUUGUGUUUUGUUUUUUUACCACUGUAGAUCGUUAUAUUUAAUAUGACGAUGUUUUCUAUGAGGAGACGUUUAACAUUUUUGGAAGGAGUCUCCAGUGUCCAGAGGUAAAGCUGUAAACGUUACGUUUUCAGACAUCUUCGGGACAGAGGAGUUUAUACUGUGUUUUCCCUGUAACGUGACAAGCUGUGUAUUUUCGUCUUGUUAACUUCAAGAGAAAGAAAGAAAGAAACGCCGGCGAAGGAACCACAAUAUAAUCUACGUUCUAAUGUGAUGAUAUUCAUUAUUCCGUAUGAUACAUACACACUUACAGGAAUGUCUGCGGUAAAAAUGACUCUUAAUGAACAUCCACAAUCGGUUUUUUUUAGCGUUACUGAUAUAACACAGACCACCAUCGCGAUUACGUUCGAUUUUGCGAAAGAUUUUUGUUGUUGUUGUUGUUUUUUUUUAGCGAAUUUGACACAAAAAAUAAAAUGUACACAAUCCCCCCCUAGCUGCAGAGAGAAUAUGUACGCAAUUAAUUUGAUUGGGACUUUUAUUACCUUUUAGCUACGUUACCCAAACAAAAAUAAAAGAGUCUGACAGUUUAGGAGCUCACAUUACAUUUAGGGUUACGUGGGAAAACACAAGGUCUAUGUAGUACUAAAUUGAUGCUACCGUCUACAAAGGCAUGCUACUGAGACGAGACGGAAAGUGUGUGCAAAUCAACAAGAGAGCCUUGUUGAUUUACUGAGAGAUUUAUUGAGAGAAAUAAUCGCUUAGGAACAACAAGGACUUAACUGCCAUUAGUAAAACCUAAAUUAUUAUUAUACUUAGUAAUCCACCGUACAGCCUGUAAUCGCUGUUUGAGACACGUUCGGACCUGAGACGCUAAUUCUGUGGGCAUGGGAAGCAUCGGGGAGGACUAGACGCGGUACACAUCCGUAUUAUUAUCGACUAUGGACCUGCCUGUCUGCAUUCUACAGCUAUUUUACAGCUUAACUGACCAUGUAUGAGAAUGAACUUACAUUAGUAAUGGCGGUAAUUUAAAAAAAAAAAAAAAAUUAUAAUAAAAAUAACAGGCUGGUGAAAAAAUGUCUUGUUUUCACAGGUGCCGCAAAAUUUGUGCAACAGAAUCCACAUUGCCUGUCUGGUCUACUUUCCUGACGUAGGUCCAGAAACCUGUUUUGAUUUGAUGGUUUUGGCGUCAGUGAGACGGCGGUCUGUUUCAGGUGACGGUGUAAAGUCUGCUGAACAGACACGUCUGGAAAUAAAGAGAUCUAUUCAGCGCUUAAUGGUAAGCUUCCCAGAGGCUCUGGGGCAGAUUUGUGGUGGGCGAGGAGGAACAUUUACAAUGUAAAACAAGCCUGCUACAUGCUGCACGGCUCUGUCCGGCCUUCAUCAAGACACUCCUGUUCUGUGGACUCGGGUCGAAAGCAAGCAGCACCGGUGUACUUUACACAAAUAUAGACAUCUAUCUAUCUAUCUAUCUGUCUGUCUGUCUGUCUGUCCGUCUGUCUGCUCUGACAGUAAUGCCAGCUGGAAUUCAAAUGAUUCUAUUUCUAUUUUCUUCUAAUAUUCUAUUCUUUCGAUAGGAACAGCUCAUUCACAGGGACUUGUACUGCACAUGUAAACAAAUAAACUCGGGCUAAUAACAAUACAUGUUAUUUAACAAAGGACAUAGUUGAUAUGGUCAGGCUUUCUUUAUUAAGACAUUUAUUUAGCAUUUAUGGAAGGAGUCUCCAGUGCAAGGUCUUCAUUCAGAGGAGUUCACACUUUGUGGUAACAAGGUGGGGUUUUUUUUUGGUCAUUUGGAGAUGUGAGGGAACUACUGUAUAUAGCUGCUAUGACAUGCAGUAAGUGAGAACAGGAAAUAACUUGUCUUGUGGACAUUCCACAACAUUAAAUAUAACCAUAAACUGAUGAAAAAAAAGACGUUGUUUAUUAAUAAAGCUUUUUUUUUUUUAAAUGGCAAAUUGCUGUGGUAUAAGAGGAAUAACACACUACAAAUAAUAAAAAGAGGAAUAGCAAACAGUCCCUAACCACUCUAGAGCGCACUUCAUAAUAUUUCCCAUCAUGUAGGGAACCUCUAGGACACUGCACAAUGUAUUAGCCACUUGAAGUGCAAUCUACAGGACACUUCGCCAUGUAGAGAGCUUAUAGGGCACUGCAAGAGCACCCUAGAGGGCACUUCAUCAUGUUUUCUGUCUUGUAGGCAGCCUAUAGGGCAGUGCACCAUGUGUUCUCGAGUGGAAGAGCACCCUAGAGGGUACUUCAUCAUGCUUCCUAUCAUGGAGCCUAUAGGGCACUGCACCAUAUGUUCUCCACUGGAAGGGUGCCAAACAGGGCACUUCAUCACGUUUCCUGUCAAGUAGGGAGCCUAAAGGGCACUGCAUCAUGUACGCACUUCAUGUUUCCUCACAUGUAGGGAGUCUAUAGGGCACUGCACCAUGUAUUCUCCACCGGACGCGCACCCUAGAGGGCACGUUAUCAUGGUUCCUAUAAUGUAGGGAGCAUAUAGGGCACUGCAUCGUGUAUUCUGCCCUGCAAGAGCACCCUAGAGGGCACUUUUAUCAUGUUUACUGUAAUGCAGGGAGCUUAUAGGGCACUGCAUCAUGUGUACUCCAUUGGAAGGGCACCCUAGAGGGCACUUCAUGUUUCUUCACAUGUAGGGUUUCCCUAGAGGAAAAUUCAUUAAGGUCCCCCCCCUUACAUUUUAAUGGCAGUCAUUGGCGCACUGCAUCAUGUGUUCUCCACUGGAAGCUCACCCUAGAUGGCACUUUCAGGACACAAGUCCACCAGUAGUAAUACGCAUCUUCCAACGUGAUUGUGAUCUCCAGACAUUUCUAUGUGUUUG
Molecule: long non-coding RNA, 5848 nt
Organism: Ictalurus punctatus (channel catfish)
Lineage: Eukaryota; Metazoa; Chordata; Actinopteri; Siluriformes; Ictaluridae
Source: Ensembl